GUGAAACUAAUAUUACACAGUUCGCUAACUCACUGGAAUUUAAAUAAAAACUUAAAAAAGAUGCAGAGAACGAAACUUAGGGAGCCACAGACAGUAGACCCUAUGUGCAUCCUGACUGGAAGGUUGCAAGUCUGCUCAGAAAGAGGGUCCCUCAAACACACAGCCUGUUUGUUGGCUCGCCUAGGCACUAGGGUUUAGGUCAGAGUUUUAGGGAGAAAGUGCAAAUUCAAGGAUGGGAACAGAUGUUUCUCAUCUUGAAGACUGUCCAGAUGCUGCCACUUGAAAAGAGGAAAGAAGCAACUAAUUCAGCAGGGCUGGGGAAUUGAGAGUUUGAUGCCAGGCUGUAAGUUGCUUGCGGAAACCUCGAGUUCCCGUCGCUGCUGUUGUACGGAUGCCAGCUCCCUCCAGUCUGGGAGCAUUCCCCAAACAGAUAGUGCCGGCACUCACGCCAGGUACCGCACAGGAAGCUGCAAAUGCAUGAAGCGCACACCUCUGAGGGGGAAAGGCCAAGAUUAGGCAAAGAGUCCUAAGGGGUAACUUCAAUUCAUGUCCGUCAAAACACAACCUAAGACAGAAACAUGAAGGGCAAAUAUUUGAUAACAUUAUAUUAGUCUGAACGUGAGCUACGGCAACUAUAUUCCACCUGCAGUCUGGAGAGAGUUAUGCCAUAUGCAAGCAAAAUCAGAGGAAAAAUAUUUUUCAAAAAUCCUCCUAAUGAGUCAAAAGAAAUGGCGUCCACGAGCUUGAAAGGUAAAGGACUUGCAUGUUACAUUAUAAUUUGCAUACUCGAUGCUUUUAGGGCCUGGCAAGUUGUACAAAUCAGUGAAAUGGCUUUUAAGAUGAUAAGAAAUUUGUGAACUGUACUAACUGUAAAGACUGGGCUCCUUUCAAAAUUAAUUUCAAAAGAAAGUAUAAAUAUAGAAAUAGACAUCUUGGUGAGUUCCAAAUCAAUUUUACAGAGUCCACCAAUUUGUGAUAUUAUUUUUAAGUUUGUUUGUUUAUGUCUUUAAGAGAGAGAGAGAGAAUCCCAAGCAGGAUCUGCGCUGUUAGCACAGAAUGCAAUGUGGGGCUUGAUCCCACGAAAUGUGAGAUCAUGACCUGAGGGGAAAUAGAUGCUUAACCAACUGAGCAGACCAAGCACCCCCAAUUUGUGAUAUUUUAAAUCCAUCCCACAGGAUGGACUGAAUUAUCAUUUAUCACUGCAUAAAUGAGAUACUUUUAUUCAGAGAAAAAAACAGGAGUUAGAUAUUCAUCCCAUACCAUACACAGAAAAAUUCCAAAUUUUUUAAGAUAAAAUCAUUUAAAUAAAUAAAGUACAGGAAGUUUAUACUCGGAUGACUUCCUCUGAUCAAAACACAUAGGAAUAAAAUACAAAAAGGAAAAACCAAAAUGGCAUAAUAGGAUAAAAGGUGAACUAAAACUUAUCUUGAAUCAGAAAGAAAGCAGGAUCCUGAGUAGGUCCCAAACCCAUUGGUCAUCUGAGCUCUGGGUCUGGGAGCAGGCAGUAGGGACCAAGAGCUAAGCUCUAUGAGCCCCUGUGAGUAGGGAGCCAAAAGUAGUUCAGGUGAGUCAGGGGCCACUGUUUAAAGUUACAGACAGGAAGGGAGUUCCCUUCUCACAAAACAUAAUUUUAAAAAGCACUGUGCCGUCAGCACCGAGCCCGACAUGGGGCUAGAACUCACCAGCUGUGAGAUCAUGACCUGAGCCAAAGUCAGACACUUCAGUGACUGAGCCACCCAGCCACCUCUUAAAUGUUACUGUUUCUAUGGAGCUGCCCACGUACAAAGGCAAUGAAUACAUUCAGAAUAGUAAAUCAAGAGACCUGUAUGAUUAGCAUCCACACUUUCCACGUCUUCAGUAUCACUGCAGGAAAGAAGCUUUAAACUUUAAUUAUAAGACCCACUUCUGGACUUUGAGGCUAAUUAGAAACAGCCUUAAAACUAUAAGCCAGAGAUAGACAUUUGAGAGAAGGUCUCAAAAUAUCUAAAUUAACACCAUACAGACUUCAGGUUUUACCCACAAUGCAAGCAAAUUAGAUACGAAAGAGUAAACGUGUAUGAAAACACAUACGCACAUACACUAAAACGUUAAAACGUGCUCCUUAGGUACUCACUCACAGGAUACCAAGGAAGCUGUAAUGGAAAUGAUGACACACUUAGAAACAAAUGACAACUGAAAAUACUAUAGCGCAGAAUCUAUAGGAUGGAGGCAUUGGUGUUCUAAGAAUGUAAAUCUAAUAAAGUUCAUUUCUUUGAAAAGUAUUUUAAAACAGAUUUUAUUUUUUUUCAAAAACUAAAUGAGUUAAGCAUUUAACUGAAGAAACUAGCAAAAGUAAAAACAAAAUAAAUCUGAGGAAAGUCGAAGCAAGAAAAUAAUAGGAGCAGGUGUAAGGGAAGUAGAAAACAAAGAAAUGAAAAAAAUCACCAAUGAAAUCAAACCUGAUUUAAGGGGGAAAAACUGAAAGAGAAAUAAGAUUAAUCGAUGAAACGUAACACAAACAUUAGAAAUGAAAAGGACACACCUACAAAUAGCACACUUUAAAAUGAAAUCAAAUUCAGGGAGCAAUUUAACAUAAAUAUAAAUGCCAAGAUAUUAAAUAAUACAGUAGUAUUUAGAAGUAAAGGUGUAUGUAAAAUGAUACAUCAUGUUCUAAAUCCAUUUGCCCUGGGAAUAUA
This is a long non-coding RNA of Felis catus (domestic cat), 2675 nucleotides long. RefSeq lists it as uncharacterized. The transcript is spliced from 3 exons. The record is from RefSeq and is a predicted model, not a curated record. Lineage: Eukaryota; Metazoa; Chordata; Mammalia; Carnivora; Felidae.